Molecule: ribosomal RNA, 484 nt
Filed under: uncultured bacterium
Lineage: Bacteria
Description: partial 16S ribosomal RNA
Rfam family: Bacterial small subunit ribosomal RNA
Source: RNAcentral
AUUGAACGCUGGCGGCAUGCUUUACACAUGCAAGUCGAACGGCAGCGCGGGCUUCGGCCUGGCGGCGAGUGGCGAACGGGUGAGUAAUGCAUCGGAACGUGCCCAGUAGUGGGGGAUAGCCCGGCGAAAGCCGGAUUAAUACCGCAUACGACCUGAGGGUGAAAGCGGGGGACCGAAAGGCCUCGCGCUAUUGGAGCGGCCGAUGUCGGAUUAGCUAGUUGGUGGGGUAAAGGCUUACCAAGGCGACGAUCCGUAGCUGGUCUGAGAGGACGACCAGCCACACUGGAAAUGCGCCGCGCCCAAGCCUCCGAGGGGGGGCGGCGGGGGGGAUUUUUGGACAAGGGGGCCACCCCUUACCCAGCCAUCCGGGGGGGGGGAAGAGGGCCUUCGGUUUGUAAACCUGUUUUUUGGGGGAAGAACUCCUUGGGCCUAAUACCCGGGGGGGAUGGCGGUCCGGGAAAAAUAAGCCCCGGCAAACUACGGC